UUCCUACGGGGCGCAGCAGUGGGGAAUAUUGCGCAAUGGGGGCAACCCUUACGCAGCAACGCCGCGUGCAGGAAGAAGGUCUUCGGAUUGUAAACUGUUGUCGCAGGGGAAGAAGACAGUGACGGUACCCUGUGAGAAAGUCACGGCUAACUACGUGACAGCAGCCGCGGUAAUACGUAGGUGACAAGCGUUGUCCGGAUUUACUGGGUGUAAAGGGCGCGUAGGCGGGAUAGUAAGUCAGUCGUGAAAUGCCGAGGCUUAACCUGGGAGCUGCGAUUGAAACCGUUAUUCUUGGGUAUCGGCGG
RNAcentral lists this ribosomal RNA (305 nucleotides) under uncultured bacterium. RNAcentral's name for it is "bacterial SSU rRNA". It matches the Rfam family "Bacterial small subunit ribosomal RNA", at positions 336 to 655 of the family's 1533-position model. The record is from RNAcentral.